UCCUCCGUGGCGCAAUUGGCUAGCGCGUCCGACUGUUAACUACUGGAGACGGUAAUUUGUAAUCGGGAGGUUCGUGGUUCGAGCCCACGCGGGGGAG
Melanomma pulvis-pyrius CBS 109.77 is the source of this 97-nucleotide non-coding RNA. The record is from the annotation of a GenBank genome assembly. NCBI's taxonomy places the organism in Eukaryota, Fungi, Ascomycota, Dothideomycetes, Pleosporales, Melanommataceae.